RNAcentral lists this small RNA (109 nucleotides) under Vibrio parahaemolyticus. RNAcentral describes it as "Qrr RNA". It matches the Rfam family "Qrr RNA". Rfam says of the family: This family represents a set of small RNAs (the Qrr RNAs) that are thought to be involved in the regulation of quorum sensing in Vibrio species. It is believed that these RNAs, guided by a protein, Hfq, can mediate the destabilisation of the quorum-sensing master regulators LuxR/HapR mRNAs. Lineage: Bacteria; Pseudomonadati; Pseudomonadota; Gammaproteobacteria; Vibrionales; Vibrionaceae. The record is from RNAcentral. RNAcentral also lists the same sequence under 5 other names.
UGACCCUUAUUAAGCCGAGGGUCACCUAGCCAACUGACGUUGUUAGUGAAUACACAUUGUUCACAAGUAUAUACCGCCAAUCACCUUUCUUGUGAUUGGCGUUUUUUCU